This 614-nucleotide long non-coding RNA is filed under the name Brachypodium distachyon (stiff brome). Its description in RNAcentral is "long non-coding RNA (BDIS_LNC003378)". The record is from RNAcentral. Lineage: Eukaryota; Viridiplantae; Streptophyta; Magnoliopsida; Poales; Poaceae.
AUAGUUGGAAACAUCUGUGAUGGUUUACAUGGUUUGUGAUUUGGUGUUAUAAAGCUAUUUGGGAAUUUAGUGAACUGUGUAAUUAAUAUGAGAUUUUAUUUGGAGUUCAACCCAAUGGGGUAUUUAUCUAAGAAAGGGUUUUAGUGCAAAGUAUGCCAACCCAAUAUUUUGUUGGAGUUUAAACUAAUUUAUGAAACAAAGGUUUCAUAAUAGAAUUCAAAACCUAUUUUAUGUAUUACUUAUAAAGCCCUAAUGACAUUUAUAUAAGCAAAAGUAUUUUUACUUAUUUUAUUUUGAAAGGAUUCAAGUCCCAAAAGUUCACACUUUGGAGGAUUUGAAUUUACAAAUUUACUGAAGUUUAUUUGGACCUAUUUGGAGUUAGGAAUCAAAAGUUAUUAAUAAAAAUAGAAAUGGAAAAAAAAAGAAAAAAAAAAGAGAAUGGGCCGGCCCAUCUCCACCGAACGCCCCAGCCAGCGAGCACGAGCUAGUGCUCGUCUUCCUCCUCUGCACGGAAAGAAUCCUCUCCUUUCAUGUUUUCUUUCUUCGAUUUUUUCCUUCCCGUGCGUCUCUCUCCGAAAGGAAACCACCCCAUCAAUCCUCACCAUCCCGGGAAC